AAUAGUUCUGUGGAGCGGCAACUGUGGGUCCAUCUUACAGAUAAAGCCUGUGCUACAUUGUCCUCCUUCUAUAUUCAGCACAUGCUUAAUAAGCUCCUGUACUAUUCUUGGCACCCGAGGGUCACUGAUGGACAUGGGGCAGACAAGAACCUGCCCUCUGGAGCCUCCAGUUGGAUUCUGUUCAUCCACCCUGCAAUGACGGAUCUACCCAACCUGCUGAUUCAACAUGGCAGCUGCUGGUCAAUAGUUCAUUGAAAAUAAAAUUAAAUUCUUUAAUUCUAA
This is a long non-coding RNA of Mus musculus (house mouse), 282 nucleotides long. RefSeq annotates it as predicted gene, 31367. The transcript is spliced from 2 exons. The record is from RefSeq and is marked validated. Lineage: Eukaryota; Metazoa; Chordata; Mammalia; Rodentia; Muridae.